Molecule: non-coding RNA, 119 nt
Organism: Neophaeococcomyces mojaviensis
Lineage: Eukaryota; Fungi; Ascomycota; Eurotiomycetes; Chaetothyriales
Source: the annotation of a GenBank genome assembly
AAUUAAGUAGUAUAGUAGUUAGUACGUCGUAUUAUUAUCUCUUAGUAUUAGGUAUUAAGUUAUAGAUGUUCGAUACUAAGAGAGAUACGGAGACCUAGGUUCGACUCCCAGCUUAAUCA